Molecule: ribosomal RNA, 1611 nt
Filed under: Campylobacter jejuni
Lineage: Bacteria; Pseudomonadati; Campylobacterota; Epsilonproteobacteria; Campylobacterales; Campylobacteraceae
Description: partial 23S ribosomal RNA
Rfam family: Bacterial large subunit ribosomal RNA
Source: RNAcentral
UAACGCCGUAAACCCAAGGUUUCCUACGCGAUGCUCGUCAUCGUAGGGUUAGUCGGGUCCUAAGUCGAGUCCGAAAGGGGUAGACGAUGGCAAAUUGGUUAAUAUUCCAAUACCAACAUUAGUGUGCGAUGGAAGGACGCUUAGGGCUAAGGGGGCUAGCGGAUGGAAGUGCUAGUCUAAGGUCGUAGGAGGUUAUACAGGCAAAUCCGUAUAACAAUACUCCGAGAACUGAAAGGCUUUUUGAAGUCUUCGGAUGGAUAGAAGAACCCCUGAUGCCGUCGAGCCAAGAAAAGUUUCUAAGUUUAGCUAAUGUUGCCCGUACCGUAAACCGACACAGGUGGGUGGGAUGAGUAUUCUAAGGCGCGUGGAAGAACUCUCUUUAAGGAACUCUGCAAAAUAGCACCGUAUCUUCGGUAUAAGGUGUGGUUAGCUUUGUAUUAGGAUUUACUCCGAAAGCAAGGAAACUUACAACAAAGAGUCCCUCCCGACUGUUUACCAAAAACACAGCACUCUGCUAACUCGUAAGAGGAUGUAUAGGGUGUGACGCCUGCCCGGUGCUCGAAGGUUAAUUGAUGGGGUUAGCAUUAGCGAAGCUCUUGAUCGAAGCCCGAGUAAACGGCGGCCGUAACUAUAACGGUCCUAAGGUAGCGAAAUUCCUUGUCGGUUAAAUACCGACCUGCAUGAAUGGCGUAACGAGAUGGGAGCUGUCUCAAAGAGGGAUCCAGUGAAAUUGUAGUGGAGGUGAAAAUUCCUCCUACCCGCGGCAAGACGGAAAGACCCCGUGGACCUUUACUACAGCUUGACACUGCUACUUGGAUAAGAAUGUGCAGGAUAGGUGGGAGGCUUUGAGUAUAUGACGCCAGUUGUAUAUGAGCCAUUGUUGAGAUACCACUCUUUCUUAUUUGGGUAGCUAACCAGCUUGAGUUAUCCUCAAGUGGGACAAUGUCUGGUGGGUAGUUUGACUGGGGCGGUCGCCUCCCAAAUAAUAACGGAGGCUUACAAAGGUUGGCUCAGAACGGUUGGAAAUCGUUCGUAGAGUAUAAAGGUAUAAGCCAGCUUAACUGCAAGACAUACAAGUCAAGCAGAGACGAAAGUCGGUCUUAGUGAUCCGGUGGUUCUGUGUGGAAGGGCCAUCGCUCAAAGGAUAAAAGGUACCCCGGGGAUAACAGGCUGAUCUCCCCCAAGAGCUCACAUCGACGGGGAGGUUUGGCACCUCGAUGUCGGCUCAUCGCAUCCUGGGGCUGGAGCAGGUCCCAAGGGUAUGGCUGUUCGCCAUUUAAAGCGGUACGCGAGCUGGGUUCAGAACGUCGUGAGACAGUUCGGUCCCUAUCUGCCGUGGGCGUAAGAAGAUUGAAGAGAUUUGACCCUAGUACGAGAGGACCGGGUUGAACAAACCACUGGUGUAGCUGUUGUUCUGCCAAGAGCAUCGCAGCGUAGCUAAGUUUGGAAAGGAUAAACGCUGAAAGCAUCUAAGCGUGAAGCCAACUCUAAGAUGAAUCUUCUCUAAGCUCUCUAGAAGACUACUAGUUUGAUAGGCUGGGUGUGUAAUGGAUGAAAGUCCUUUAGCUGACCAGUACUAAUAGAGCGUUUGGCUUAUCUUUAAUAAAGCAU